CGGCCUGAGAGGGUGNCCGGCCACACUGGGACUGAGAUACGGCCCAGACUCCUACGGGAGGCAGCAGUGGGGAAUAUUGCACAAUGGGCGCAAGCCUGAUGCAGCGACGCCGCGUGGGGGAUGACGGCCUUCGGGUUGUAAACCUCUUUCAAUAGGGACGAAGCGCAAGUGACGGUACCUAUAGAAGAAGCACCGGCCAACUACGUGCCAGCAGCCGCGGUAAUACGUAGGGUGCGAGCGUUGUCCGGAAUUACUGGGCGUAAAGAGCUCGUAGGUGGUUUGUCGCGUUGUCCGUGAAAUUUCACAACUCAAUUGUGAGCGUGCGGGCGAUACGGGCANACUGGAGUACUGCAGGGGAGACUGGAAUUCC
Molecule: ribosomal RNA, 370 nt
Filed under: uncultured bacterium
Lineage: Bacteria
Description: bacterial SSU rRNA
Rfam family: Bacterial small subunit ribosomal RNA
Source: RNAcentral